RNAcentral lists this long non-coding RNA (280 nucleotides) under Pelobates cultripes (western spadefoot toad). The record is from RNAcentral. Lineage: Eukaryota; Metazoa; Chordata; Amphibia; Anura; Pelobatidae.
GUCAUAGGCAGUAUUCCUCCUCCUCCAAACACGGCGAGUUGAGUUGAUGCCAAAGAGCUUGAUUUUGGUCUCAUCUGACCACAACACUUUCACCCAGUUCUCCUCUGAAUCAUUCAGAUGUUCAUUGGCAAGCUUCAGACGAGACUGUGCAUGUGCUUUCUUGAGAAGGGGGACCUUGCGGGCGCUGCAGGAUUUCAGUCCUUCACGGCGUAGUGUGUUACCAAUUGUUUUCUUGGUGACUAUGGUCCCAGCUGCCUUGAGAUCAUUAACAAGAUCCUCC